GCAGCACUUGAUUCAGAAUGAUGAUGAUAUGAGAUUUUAGAACCUGUGAUAUUUUCAAGGAGGCGAGGAACGACAUGAUCCAUUAAUUUAACCAUCAUGUCAUCUCCACUACUCUGAUUAAAAAGUGACUGAACCAGAUCAUGAACCUCAUAUGAUAUGCAUGACAUUUCGGCAUUAGAACCAUCCGAAAUGUAAUAACAAAG
RNAcentral lists this long non-coding RNA (203 nucleotides) under Solanum tuberosum (potato). Its description in RNAcentral is "long non-coding RNA (STUB_LNC006003)". Lineage: Eukaryota; Viridiplantae; Streptophyta; Magnoliopsida; Solanales; Solanaceae. The record is from RNAcentral.